Molecule: ribosomal RNA, 418 nt
Filed under: bacterium enrichment culture clone ALO1_GLFRUDD03GM599
Lineage: Bacteria
Description: bacterial SSU rRNA
Rfam family: Bacterial small subunit ribosomal RNA
Source: RNAcentral
GAGUUUGAUCGUGGCUCAGAUUGAACGCUGGCGGCAUGCCUUACACAUGCAAGUCGAACGGCAGCACGGGAGCAUGCUCCUGGUGGCGAGUGGCGAACGGGUGAGUAAUGCAUCGGAACGUAUCCUGGAGUGGGGGAUAACGUAGCGAAAGUUACGCUAAUACCGCAUAUUCUGUGAGCAGGAAAGCGGGGGACCUUCGGGCCUCGCGCUCUUGGAGCGGCCGAUGUCGGAUUAGCUAGUUGGUGAGGUAAAGGCUCACCAAGGCGACGAUCCGUAGCAGGUCUGAGAGGAUGAUCUGCCACACUGGAACUGAGACACGGUCCAGACUCCUACGGGAGGCAGCAGUGGGGAAUUUUGGACAAUGGGGGCAACCCUGAUCCAGCCAUGCCGCGUGAGUGAAGAAGGCCUCGGUUGUAAG